UAGUCAACAAGCCUUUUAUUGCUAGGGC
This 28-nucleotide small RNA is filed under the name Bombyx mori (domestic silkworm). RNAcentral's name for it is "ovarian small RNA-22966". Lineage: Eukaryota; Metazoa; Arthropoda; Insecta; Lepidoptera; Bombycidae. The record is from RNAcentral.